ACGGGAGGCAGCAGCUAAGAAUAUUCCGCAAUGGACGAAAGUCUGACGGAGCGACGCCGCGUGGAUGAUGAAGGCCGGAAGGUUGUAAAAUCCUUUUAUAACUGAGGAAUAAGUAUUAUCAGAGAAAGGUAGUAUGGUGACUGUAGGUUAUGAAUAAGCAACGGCUAAUUACGUGCCAGCAGCCGCGGUAACACGUAAGUUGCGAGCGUUGUUCGGAAUUAUUGGGCGUAAAGGGCAUGUAGGCGGUUUUGCAAGCUUGGUGUGAAAUCCCGGAGCUCAACUCCGGAAUUGCGUUGAGAACUGCAUAACUAGAGUCACUGAGGGGCAAUCAGAAUUCCAGGUGUAGGGGUGAAAUCUGUAGAUAUCUGGAAGAAUACCAAUGGCGAAGGCAGCCUACCAGCAGAUGACUGACGCUGAGGUGCGAAGGUGCGGGGAGCAAACAGGAUUAGAUACCCUGGUA
RNAcentral lists this ribosomal RNA (460 nucleotides) under uncultured Treponema sp. RNAcentral describes it as "partial 16S ribosomal RNA". It matches the Rfam family "Bacterial small subunit ribosomal RNA", at positions 341 to 792 of the family's 1533-position model. The record is from RNAcentral. Lineage: Bacteria; Pseudomonadati; Spirochaetota; Spirochaetia; Treponematales; Treponemataceae.